This 575-nucleotide ribosomal RNA is filed under the name Meyerozyma guilliermondii. RNAcentral describes it as "partial large subunit ribosomal RNA". It matches the Rfam family "Eukaryotic large subunit ribosomal RNA", at positions 51 to 642 of the family's 3401-position model. Lineage: Eukaryota; Fungi; Ascomycota; Pichiomycetes; Serinales; Debaryomycetaceae. The record is from RNAcentral.
GGGAGGAAAAGAAACCAACAGGGAUUGCCUUAGUAGCGGCGAGUGAAGCGGCAAAAGCUCAAAUUUGAAAUCUGGCGCCUUCGGUGUCCGAGUUGUAAUUUGAAGAUUGUAACCUUGGGGUUGGCUCUUGUCUAUGUUUCUUGGAACAGGACGUCACAGAGGGUGAGAAUCCCGUGCGAUGAGAUGCCCAAUUCUAUGUAAGGUGCUUUCGAAGAGUCGAGUUGUUUGGGAAUGCAGCUCUAAGUGGGUGGUAAAUUCCAUCUAAAGCUAAAUAUUGGCGAGAGACCGAUAGCGAACAAGUACAGUGAUGGAAAGAUGAAAAGAACUUUGAAAAGAGAGUGAAAAAGUACGUGAAAUUGUUGAAAGGGAAGGGUUUGAGAUCAGACUCGAUAUUUUGUGAGCCUUGCCUUCGUGGCGGGGUGACCCGCAGCUUAUCGGGCCAGCAUCGGUUUGGGCGGUAGGAUAAUGGCGUAGGAAUGUGACUUUACUUCGGUGAAGUGUUAUAGCCUGCGUUGAUGCUGCCUGCCUAGACCGAGGACUGCGAUUUUAUCAAGGAUGCUGGCAUAAUGAUCCCA